AGCUAAUCGGCGCUACACCGUUGUUCAAAUACUUAUAAUUGCAAGAAACCCCCGACUAGGACCAGCAGUCAUUGAUGUUAGCAUGUACUACACAAAGAAAAACAGGCAAAGCAUGAAGCCAAAGGAAAUGUUUUUACCAAGGCAUGUUCCUCAAUAGCGGAGAGAGUUUUAUCCAGUGUCGGUUCUGCAGAAGAACCCAUUCAUAGCAGACCACCCAUUGCAGCACUUGUAAGGUCGCUAUAAAGAACCCGACAGACUCUGCGACCAAAAGAUCCCACUGACGUGUCGUCAAGCCUUGACGAAGAUUUCAUCGAUCAUAGUGCACCGGGAUUUUAUCAAAAAAGAGUAAAAGUUGGGGAAAGGCGCCAUCACAUUUUUUGUACUGAUAGACAGAUGCAACUACUCGCACGCGCAAAAACUUGGUAUAUGGAUG
Molecule: long non-coding RNA, 433 nt
Organism: Patella vulgata (common limpet)
Lineage: Eukaryota; Metazoa; Mollusca; Gastropoda; Patellidae
Exons: 4
Source: RefSeq, a predicted model, not a curated record